AAGAAAGGAGUCCUAAACUACAAUGUACCCUUCACUCUACAAAUACAAACCUUACACUCUGGUUACUAAGAAGUUUGUUACCUAGCAAUGUAUUUUGACACUACCCAGUUUCAGUAGAAAAUAUAUAAAGAUAAAUGAAUAUUACACUCACAACUACCAUAAAUUUGUUGCUCAAAAAAAGAACAAAUUUAAAAAAAACAGACAACUUAAGCAAGAAAAACAAGGAGCUAUGAUGUACAUGAUUUCAAAAGGAUGAUUCACCCUUAAUGAGUAUUUUAAGUGAUUACAAAAGGCUGAAGUGAUCAGAUUAUUACAACUACCAAAUACCAGACUACCAGAAGAUCCUAUUAUUUAAUCCUUAGUGAAAUAGACCCUGAAACUAUCAAAAGAUUUUUUAAAAAUGUAAAGUUCCUUUUGAGAAGCAAUACAAUGCUAAAUGGCAAGUCCCCAUUCUAAAUUUGUUUUAUACAGACAUAGAUUGAGUCAAGAUAAAAACUGAAUCUCUGUUGUGGAAAUGGCCUCUGCCACCUCCAAUCAUGUCCUAACUCCAAAAAAGGCUCAGUAAAGAGGUUCCUAAACUGAAGAGGAAAACAAAUGCUGACUGACAGCGAGCAAGUUCUAAAGCAAAAGUUGGUGAAGAAAGAGUAAAAGAACAGCAAAUAAGCAAUGGUUGGAUCAAGAAAUCGCUUCCCCAAAGGCAUCUUAAAUAUAAUUGCACUUUAGGAAGAGUUCAGAAAGUUAUCAAACCUACUACACUAAAGCCAAAUUAAGACUACCUUUUUUCUUUUCAAAGCUAAAGUCUAAUUUUUCAGUUUUAGAAGACCUAAAUUAUGGAGUCAUGACGUGUCCAUUAUUAUCUUAAGAUGUCAAGAGUCUGUAAGAUUUUUUUUCCCUUCAAUAAAAUUCAUUUUACUAGGAGAAGCAAGGGAGCCAAGAGAAAUCUGACAUUUCAGAUUCUUUCAAUAUUACUAUCUUUCACUGAUUCUAAGUAACCCAUUUCACAUCUUUCGUAUUAGGUUUCUUUCUUCAGUUUCCUUUACUCUUGAGAGAAAAAUGAGUGUCACCCUAACAUUUGAUGAAAGCUAUAAUAAACUAAUAUUAUAUUAGUUUUAUAUAGUUUAUGCAAUAUUACAUAUUGGAUGUUAUAUAGUAAUUUACUUACCUAGGCUAAUAAAUAUUGGCAAAGGCAAAUGAAAGCAAAGCCCCUGGGCUCUUAGGGGUUUUUAGCUAGAGGGGAAAAAUGGUAUGCCAAAAUGUUAAGCCAUUACAAGGAAUGAUACAGUAAAUACCUGGCAUAAACAGGACUGGUGAUCUAACCUGAUCAACAACAUUACUCAAUGGAGGCCUCUCUGGAGGCAAAGAUGUGAGCUACAGAGAGAACUACGAAGAAGUGAACAAGUGUGAGACUGCAGAGGCAAAAAGGAAUUGAGUAUCUCUGGGUUUCACAAAUUUUGUAAAGACUUUGUCUUUUUUCUACUCAUAGAGAUUGAAACUGAUGGGAAGGCAACUAAUUGUUUCUGGAACACAAAAUUCAAUUUGUGUCUUGAGAAACAUCCCUCAGGCCAUACUGCAAAGAAUGAGUAUGUUUAGCACAAGGGUACCUACCAGGAGAUCAAGUACAAUAUCAUACUUUAAACCAGUUAGGAAAUACAGGAUUAA
Molecule: long non-coding RNA, 1659 nt
Organism: Perognathus longimembris pacificus (Pacific pocket mouse)
Lineage: Eukaryota; Metazoa; Chordata; Mammalia; Rodentia; Heteromyidae
Exons: 3
Source: RefSeq, a predicted model, not a curated record